GCGGGUGUAGUUUAGUGGUAGAACAUCAGCUUCCCAAGCUGAGAGUGCGAGUUCGAUUCUCGUCACCCGCUCCA
This 74-nucleotide transfer RNA is filed under the name Streptomyces phaeochromogenes. Its description in RNAcentral is "tRNA-Gly". It matches the Rfam family "tRNA". Rfam says of the family: Transfer RNA (tRNA) molecules are approximately 80 nucleotides in length. Their secondary structure includes four short double-helical elements and three loops (D, anti-codon, and T loops). Further hydrogen bonds mediate the characteristic L-shaped molecular structure. tRNAs have two regions of fundamental functional importance: the anti-codon, which is responsible for specific mRNA codon recognition, and the 3' end, to which the tRNAs corresponding amino acid is attached (by aminoacyl-tRNA synthetases). tRNAs cope with the degeneracy of the genetic code in two manners: having more than one tRNA (with a specific anti-codon) for a particular amino acid; and 'wobble' base-pairing, i.e. permitting non-standard base-pairing at the 3rd anti-codon position. RNAcentral also lists the same sequence under 818 other names. Lineage: Bacteria; Bacillati; Actinomycetota; Actinomycetes; Kitasatosporales; Streptomycetaceae. The record is from RNAcentral.